GCGACUCAUGAAGGUAGGUUGAAAUCAUUAAGUUUGAUCUGAGUCAGUCCUGUGGUUCAGUUAAUCAAGUUCCUUGUUCUUACUCUUUGAACAUGGUGUAUUCCAAAUGCACUUGGGCUGUUUGUGCUGCAAUGACUUUAUUGAAAACACUAGGGCAUAUUGAAUUGUCAAGCAUCAAAGGAAAAACAUCUAUACAUUUGUGCUUAUCUACUGGUGCAAUUCAGGGUUAGCCCAACAAGGUGUGUCUUCACACUUGUCAGUUCUCCAGCUACCUUUUCGUUCUAUCCCUUGUUUAUUGUUAACCCAUUGAUAUAAAAUUUUAAAUAGUUGAUGGUGUCUGUUUCUGUUUUCGUUUCUGUUUGAUUAUUUUGCUAGGGACUUUGAGUCACUGACUGAUGCAUACAGAGGGAGACGCGAGUGCUGCACAGUUGAUAUCAGACUAAUUUCA
This 448-nucleotide long non-coding RNA is filed under the name Fragaria vesca (wild strawberry). RNAcentral describes it as "long non-coding RNA (FVES_LNC000568)". The record is from RNAcentral. Lineage: Eukaryota; Viridiplantae; Streptophyta; Magnoliopsida; Rosales; Rosaceae.